UUAGUUCAUCUAAGGGGGUUAGUUGAUGCCAAACAUAAGAAAAUGAGGGUUAGUUGAACUAAGGGGGGUUAGUUGAUGCGGCGCAUCAACUAACCCUAAAUCUAAUCUAAGGGUUAGUUGAUGCGGCGCAUCAACUAACCCUGUAUGUGAUCUUAGGGGUUAGUUGAUGCGGCGCAUCAACUAAGGGGGAAGUUGACAUGCCAAAUCAACUACGGGGUUAAGGUGAUGUUGUUGUAAUUGUUAAAAGUUUUAUAUCUGUUUUUAAAAAUUGUGGUCUAGCAAAGUAAAUUUAUAAAAAUUAGAUCUGUGUGCCAAUCUUUGAUUUAAAAAAAAAAUUUAUUUUAAUUUUUUUAUGCAAGUAGAUACCUUUAAGAAAUAAAAAAAUUCUAUAAUCAUUCAAUCAUGAAUGAAUUAUUUUGUAAUUAUUCUUUAACGCGUCGUAUUUUCCAUAAAAAUAACCAAGCACUACAGUACAUGUAUAUUCCACUGAACUGUUUACAGCAGACGUGUCAAAAUGACGUCACAACACAAAUCGUCAUAGCGCGUGAACUUAAACGCAGUGCAAAAGGCCUUCAUCAUGAAUUUGGGAAGUCACAGAUCUAGAUCUAUAAAUUUUGACAUUUUUUUUUUCAUUUUAUCAACAAUUUAUUUGAAAAAUUGUCAUGCGGGAGAUUAUGUGUAUUUGCCGGGAAAAUAACGAUUAUCUGAGGUGUGUCACAGCUUGAUCACAGGCUUACUUGUGUCAAAGUCAGAAUGAUGUUUCCAGUAUACUGCCCUCAAAAGCCAUGGUAGGACAGUAUUUAAGUAGCACCAGUACAUGGAAUUUUGAAAUUGAGUGUGAACUGUAAUUACACGAAGAGGUGAAAUUUUCAACAAUGUCAUGCUAUUCCAUUACACUGAACUUACAUCAUGAACUUACAUCAUAUGUAGUGGCAGUUAUGUCUUUUCAGGAUGGAGUGAGUUACGCCUUGGAUACUGGAAAACAUGUGGCCAUUUCCAAAAGAACUGUUGGUGCCUCACAUCAAUGAGAGAGCCUGACACUGUCACAUAUUGGACAUAAAGUAGUGCAGUGCCUGACAAAUUAGCCAUAACUUGUCACUUGUACCAGGAGAAUGAAAAUCCAAUGUCAGAAAUUGCAAGACUUUUGAAAAACCUACACAAUGGGGGAAAAGUUGAUUGCAUAUAUCUAAAGAUAAAUUACUUGAGAGUGUGUAGCUUCUUACUAUUCUGACAGUCAAGAUCUCAUUGAAUUAAUUGUCCUUUGGGACAAUGUCGAUAAUGUUUUAUAGUGAUUGAAAAAAACAAUGCAGCAACAAGCAAUUACCUAAAAUUAAUUUAAAGUGAAGAUCUCCUUAUGCAGUAUUCUACCUUUUAAUGCUUCCUGAAGAACAUUUGCAAAGCAUAUAGUUGCCGCUUUGUCCUUCUUUAAUUAUGUCACACUUAUGUCACAAUUAUGUCCUACAGUUUUUCUUUUUAACUUUAUUUAUUGACCAAUAUCUUUCAUAUUUGAUAGGUAGAUACUUUUUAUGGUCCUUUUAGUAACUCGGUGCGAGUUUGAGAUUACUAGGGUAAAGGUCACCAGUGAAAAGAAUAUCCUACACUUGCUUGAACAACCAUUAUUAAUUGACAAAAAAGCAUUUCAUAUUUGGUAGGAACAUUUCUUCUGUAGUUCUCUAACUUAAGUUGGGGUUGUUGAGGUCAAUUGCAAGAAAAAUAGAGAGAGAUUUUUACAUUUUCCUUCACAUACUUCAGUUUAGUGUUUGGAAACAUUCAUUGCCAUUUUGCACACUGUCUUAAUUUAUUACCUGAAUUAUUCCAGGAAAGGUAGAAUACUGUUAUUUUCUGAUGUGAAUUUUGACUAAAUAAGGCCUUUAGUGUAGCAGUAUUAUAAAUUUGUUGUCAUAGAAAAGAUAGGUAAUAUUGUUGAGAAUUUAGGACUUUUAUAAUGUCAAAUGCAAUGAAGGAACACAGCAGAAACCAAAUACAUUGUACCAGGAGAUGAACUCUUUGUUUAAUGUGUUUUUUAGUUCAGUCUGGCAAGAUUUUUCAAUUUAUUUUUGUAACAAUGUAAACUUUGUUUCUUAGCUCACCUCGGCACAAUGUGCUCAUGCUGAGCUUUUGUGAUGGCUUUUUGUCUGUCAUGCAUUAUAACCAGUUACUAAAAAAAUAUUGUCUGAAAACAUGACUGUAUUUGGACCAAUCUUCACAGGAAAAUUACAUAGGUGGUCUCUUACCAAAGCUGUUCAAAUGUUUCCAGUUGGUUGCGUAUGUGGGUCAUAGAAACCAAACAACAAAGGGGUUUUAUAAUGCUUGUAUUGAAAUAUUUCUGGCCAAGAGUUUUAAUGUUUAUUUUGUUGCAUCAUUUAAAGGAGCUCUACCAAAGUUGUUAAAAGAAAUUUACAAUUAUUUUUUUGUGUCGCCUUUAAAAGGUGAUAUAUAGGGGUUACUUUUGUCGACGGCAUCGUUGUCGGCGGCCCCUAAAGCUUGUCCGGAGCAUAACUCAGUCACAAUAAGUCUGAUUGACUUCAAACUUUGUAUGCAUGCUUCUUUUAAUAACCCAAAGUGCAGUGCACAAGGACCGGUACUCUGCACUUCUUAAUUUUUGAGUAUUGCCUUUUGUUAAUUUUCAUAUUUAUUAAUUUUGUCUGGGCCAUUUCUCUUCAACUAUAAAAGCUAUGGACUUGAAACUUCAUAGGAUGACAGAUCUCAUUAAGAAGAAGUGCAGUGCACAAGAAAUGGUACUCUGCAUUUCUUAUUUUUUUAAAUUAUUGCCCUUUGUUGAUUUUCAUACUUCAUUUUUGUCCGGGCCAUUUCUCGUGAUUUAUAAAAGCUAUGGACUUGAAACUUCAUAGGAUGAUAGAUCUCAUUAAGAAGUGCAGUGCACAAGAACUGGCACUCUGUUUUUCUUAUUUUUUGAGUUAUUGCCCUUUGUUACUUUUCAUACUUUAUUUUUGUCCGGGCCAUUUUUCCUAUACAAUGAAAGCUAUUUACUUGAAACUUCAUAGAAUGAUAGAUCUCAUUAUGAAGAAGUGCAGUGCACAAGAACCAAUACUCUGCACUCCUUAUUUUUUGAGUUUUUGCCCUUUUUAAUUUUCAUACUUUAUAUUCAUCCUGGCCAUUUCUCCUAACGUAUAAAAGCUUUGGGCAUGAAACUUCAUAGGAUGAUAGGUCUCAUUGAGAUGAAGUGCAAUGCACAAAAAAACCGGUACUACAUGGUUUUUGAGUUCCUGCAUGCUCUUAGGGUCAGUUAGUAAAAGGUCCGUCACUCAGAGUCACUGUGGUCUUGUCCACUAAAGGCAUGUAUAACAUAUAAAAGAUGGUGCUAAUGGUCAGCUUUUAUUAUCACUUGUCCAACCAACCAAAUUGUUUUAUGGAUAACCAAUAGGCCACAUUUCAUCAAACUAUCAAUUUUUGUAUAUAGCAAUGUAUAUUGGACCAUAACUGUGAUUAUUUAAUUCAUACCCCACAGGUCAAAAUUGACCCUGAACCUGGACAAGUAAGUUUUACAAAGUCUUAUAUACAUGGGUGCAAGAAUACCUGAAUUUACUAUAAUAUUUAUAGGUUUUCUUUACAAAGUUUACUUUAAGAAGUAUUAAAUAACCUGAACUUAUAUAGGAAGUCCCCCAAUGCUUAGAAAUUAUAUAUUUUGAGUGUAGCAUGUUUAGUGGACAACUACCAAGUUUUUCCUAACCAUGGCUCUUCUGUCUACUUUUCAUAUACUUAAACCUAUAAAAUUCUUCUCCAAGACAAGGCCUUGUGCUUUUAUAUUUAGUGUGUGACAUUUUCUAGUUAAGUAAAGUUAUAGUUUGCUAAAAGGUGAGCGAAUGUGGGUUAUAAUUAUGACCCUGUUCUAUUUACAAUUGGUUAAAAAAAUGAAUUUGAUUAUUGAAAAACUAAAAUGUUAAAGUAAAUUUAUGUGUAAAUAAAUAUAUAGAAAGCUAACUUUUAUUGUUUUGUCAAUCUUUUUUAAUUCAUUGUCUCCAGGAUCAAAUAAAGCAAAAAAAUUAUGUCUGUAUGUGAAAAAAUACUCUUCAGAAGUCAGAUUUUUGCAGUAUACAAAGUUCUCAGUGCUAUGUUUAUAAAGCACUAUCCCUAUAUGUGAUCUAAUGGGGUUAGUUGAUGCGCCGCAUCAACUAACCUCUUUAGAUCACAUAUAGGGUUAGUUGAUGCGCUGCAUCAACUAACCCCCUUUGAUCAGAUACAGGGUUAGUUGAUGCGCCGCAUCAACUAACCCCUUAGAUCACAUACAGGGUUAGUUGAUGCGCCGCAUCAACUAACCCUUAGAUCAGAUUCAGGGUUAGUUGAUACGCC
This is a long non-coding RNA of Ruditapes philippinarum (Manila clam), 4311 nucleotides long. RefSeq lists it as uncharacterized. Lineage: Eukaryota; Metazoa; Mollusca; Bivalvia; Venerida; Veneridae. The transcript is spliced from 4 exons. The record is from RefSeq and is a predicted model, not a curated record.